GAGUUUGAUCAUGGCUCAGAAUGAACGCUGGCGGCAGGCCUAACACAUGCAAGUCGAACGGAGUUAUAUUGUAGCUUGCUAUGGUAUAACUUAGUGGCAGACGGGUGAGUAAUGUAUAGGAAUCUACCUAGUAGUACGGAAUAAUUGUUGGAAACGGCAACUAAUACCGUAUACGCCCUACGGGGGAAAAAUUUAUUGCUAUUAGAUGAGCCUAUAUUAGAUUAGUUAGUUGGUGAGGUAAAGGCUUACCAAGACAAUGAUCUAUAGCUGAUCUGAGAGGAUGAUCAGCCACACUGGAACUGAGAUACGGUCCAGACUCCUACGGGAGGCAGCAGUGGGGAAUAUUGGACAAUGGGCGAAAGCCUGAUCCAGCCAUGCCGCAUGAGUGAAGAAGGCCUUCGGGUUGUAAAGCUCUUUUAGUGAGGAAGAUAAUGACGGUACUCACAGAAGAAGUCCUGGCUAACUCCGUGCCAGCAGCCGCGGUAAUACGGAGAGGGCUAGCGUUAUUCGGAAUCAUUGGGCGUAAAGGGCGCGUAGGCGGGUUAGUAAGUUAAAAGUGAAAUCCCAAGGCUCAACCUUGGAACUGCUUUUAAAACUGCUAGUCUAGAGAUUGAAAGAGGAUAGAGGAAUUCCUAGUGUAGAGAUGAAAUUCGUAAAUAUUAGGAGGAACACCAGUGGCGAAAGGCGUCUAUCUGGUUCAAAUCUGACGCUGAGGCGCGAAGGCGUGGGGAGCAAACA
This 738-nucleotide ribosomal RNA is filed under the name uncultured Hyphomicrobiales bacterium. RNAcentral's name for it is "bacterial SSU rRNA". It matches the Rfam family "Bacterial small subunit ribosomal RNA", at positions 9 to 774 of the family's 1533-position model. Lineage: Bacteria; Pseudomonadati; Pseudomonadota; Alphaproteobacteria; Hyphomicrobiales. The record is from RNAcentral.